CUACCUUUUGCAGAGGGAUAGCCCAGAGAAAUUUGGAUUAAUACCUCAUAGUAUAUAGAGCUGGCAUCAGCCCUAUAUUAAAGUCACAACGGCAAAAGGUGAGCAUGCGUCCCAUUAGCUAGUUGGUAAGGUAACGGCUUACCAAGGCUACGAUGGGUAGAGGUCCUGAGAGGGAGAUCCCCCACACUGGUACUGAGACACGGACCAGACUCCUACGGGAGGCAGCAGUGAGGAAUAUUGGACAAUGGGCGCAAGCCUGAUCCAGCCAUGCCGCGUGCAGGAUGACGGUCCUAUGGAUUGUAAACUGCUUUUGCACAGGAAGAAACAACGCUACGUGUAGCGUCUUGACGGUACUGUGAGAAUAAGGAUCGGCUAACUCCGUGCCAGCAGCCGCGGUAAUACGGAGGAUCCAAGCGUUAUCCGGAAUCAUUGGGUUUAAAGGGUCCGUAAGCGGUUUAAUAAGUCAGUGGUGAAAGCCCAUCGCUCAACGGUGGAACGGCCAUUGAUACUGCUAGACUUGAAUUAUUAGGAAGUAACUAGAAUAUGUAGUGUAGCGGUGAAAUGCUUAGAGAUUACAUGGAAUACCAAUUGCGAAGGCAGGGUUACUACUAAUUGAUUGACGCUGAUGGACGAAAGCGUGGGUAGCGAACAAGAUUAGAUACCCUGGUAGUC
Molecule: ribosomal RNA, 672 nt
Filed under: uncultured bacterium
Lineage: Bacteria
Description: bacterial SSU rRNA
Rfam family: Bacterial small subunit ribosomal RNA
Source: RNAcentral